RNAcentral lists this ribosomal RNA (253 nucleotides) under uncultured bacterium. Its description in RNAcentral is "partial 16S ribosomal RNA". It matches the Rfam family "Bacterial small subunit ribosomal RNA", at positions 524 to 776 of the family's 1533-position model. The record is from RNAcentral.
UACGUAGGGACCGAGCGUUGGCCGGAUUCAUUGGGCGUAAAGAGCUCGUAGGCGGCUGUUCAAGUCGAACGUGAAAACUCGGAGCUCAACUCCGAGCCUGCGUUCGAUACUGGACGGCUAGAGUCUGGUAGGGGGAUCUGGAAUUCCUGGUGUGGCGGUGGAAUGCGCAGAUAUCAGGAGGAACACCGGUGGCGAAGGCAAUCCCCUGGGCCUGCACUGACGCUCAUGCACGAAAGCGUGGGGAGCAAACAGG